This 554-nucleotide ribosomal RNA is filed under the name Salmonella enterica. Its description in RNAcentral is "partial 23S ribosomal RNA". It matches the Rfam family "Bacterial large subunit ribosomal RNA", at positions 830 to 1296 of the family's 2925-position model. RNAcentral also lists the same sequence under 1 other name. The record is from RNAcentral. Lineage: Bacteria; Pseudomonadati; Pseudomonadota; Gammaproteobacteria; Enterobacterales; Enterobacteriaceae.
CAAUCAAACCGGGAGAUAGCUGGUUCUCCCCGAAAGCUAUUUAGGUAGCGCCUCGUGAAUUCAUCUCCGGGGGUAGAGCACUGUUUCGGCUAGGGGGCCAUCCCGGCUUACCAACCCGAUGCAAACUGCGAAUACCGGAGAAUGUUAUCACGGGAGACACACGGCGGGUGCUAACGUCCGUCGUGAAGAGGGAAACAACCCAGACCGCCAGCUAAGGUCCCAAAGUCAUGGUUAAGUGGGAAACGAUGUGGGAAGGCCCAGACAGCCAGGAUGUUGGCUUAGAAGCAGCCAUCAUUUAAAGAAAGCGUAAUAGCUCACUGGUCGAGUCGGCCUGCGCGGAAGAUGUAACGGGGCUAAACCAUGCACCGAAGCUGCGGCAGCGAACGUAUCACCCAAGACAACUUUACGGAGUUGACGAUUGACGGAGCGAAGCGACGUCAAAGCGUUCAUUAAAGUCGAGUUGGCUUAGGGAUACGUUCGUUGGGUAGGGGAGCGUUCUGUAAGCCUGUGAAGGUGUGUCGUGAGGCAUGCUGGAGGUAUCAGAAGUGCGAAUG